GUCUUCUCCCCCAACCCCCAUCUUCUUCUUCCUUGGGAUUUGUUGAAAAAAUGGGAUUGACUUGUAGAAUUUCCUUCGUUGCAGGGUGCUUUGUAUCUGCUUAUCUUACAAAACCAUUUAUGCACAACUCCGGUGCUAUUGUUUCUGCCAGAAGUGGAUUUAACCACUUUCACAUUGUGAGGAGCCAGAGUGAUAAAUUAUAUGGAAAUAUAACAGACACCACAUCAGCAUCCUUUGGAUCUUGGAAUAUCAAACAUAAUAUUGUACUACAAGGCAACCCGGGGGGCAUGGUGGAAAUUGUGCCAACAUGAUCUGCAGCCAAGAGCCACAGAAGGCCUGCGAAGUCAAGUCUGUUAAUAGCACCCCUAACAUCUAAGAUACAUCCAUCCUUGAAUCGAUCUGGGCAGUGCAUCUCUGUCCAUCAGUCACUUGAAGCCAAAUAAGCUGGAGAUGCCAAAACCACCUUGGAAGAUUGAAGAAAGGGUCAAAA
Molecule: long non-coding RNA, 490 nt
Filed under: Vulpes vulpes (red fox)
Lineage: Eukaryota; Metazoa; Chordata; Mammalia; Carnivora; Canidae
Description: lncRNA (ENSVVUG00000015041.1)
Source: RNAcentral